Dreissena polymorpha is the source of this 777-nucleotide long non-coding RNA. RefSeq lists it as uncharacterized. The transcript has 3 exons. The record is from RefSeq and is a predicted model, not a curated record. Lineage: Eukaryota; Metazoa; Mollusca; Bivalvia; Myida; Dreissenidae.
UUUUAUCAUUUAACUAAAUGUAAAAGUUACCGAUUUUAACCCGCUUCUGUUUCUCGCAAAUAUAGGCACACCACCACUUGUUGUAAGGCAAAAAACAUAAGCAGCCAUGUCUGUUCGUAACCGACUAUUCGCAUGACGACACAAGUCGGGAUGGGUACGAAUUAUGCCAAUCAUAACAACGACUGUAUUUUUGGAAGGUUUAUACUAAAUUGUUUGCAGUUUUAUUGUUAUUGUUGUACAAAUAAAGAUUUCUGUACAAGUUACUUAAACUUGGAAACCUUGCAGCUGGCUUUUCUCAUCUCCCUUUCUACACUAACCGCCUCUAUAAGUCUCCUGAGGCAAGAGGAGUAUCGACGGUGAGAGGGGCCUUCAGCACAAUGAAAAUGAUAAAAACAGAAAAUCAUCUCACUUGAAGUUUGCUGUCCUCAAUGUUCAGAUAAUGGUCAGCAAAGAAGUACCAGACAUUCAGGCAGUGGAUGCCCAGAACCAGGAGAAGUCAUGGAAAACAGUUGUUUGAAGUUAACAUUGUAUAUUUGUAUACUCGUGGUAAAAUCUGUAUUGUUGUUAUUUUCAAUAAUGUUUCCUUUCUAAUGCCUACUGUUAUUUUGCUUGUUACUUAAUAUAUUAUAAUAUAUGAAUUUAAUAUCGGGAACCAAAAACUAAAUAAUAAAAUAAUAUGUUUGACUUUGAUUUAGAACAUGUACUUAAUAUUUAAAAAUCCAUACGCAAAAUGGGGCCCACCCCUUCUGCACCAACCCCUUAUUGCGCUGUAUUGCC